UACGGAGGGGGCAAGCGUUGUUCGGAAUUAUUGGGCGUAAAGGGCGCGUAGGCGGGUAGGUAAGUCUGGUGUGAAAACUUCGCCGCUCAACGGGAAGAGUGCACCAGAAACUGCCCAUCUUGAGUGCGAGAGAGGUGAGUGGAAUUCCUGGUGUAGCGGUGGAAUGCGUAGAUAUCAGGAAGAACACCGGUGGCGAAGGCGGCUCACUGGCUCGCAACUGACGCUGAGGCGCGAAAGCCAGGGGAGCGAACGGGAUUAGAUACCCCCGUA
Molecule: ribosomal RNA, 270 nt
Filed under: uncultured prokaryote
Description: partial 16S ribosomal RNA
Rfam family: Bacterial small subunit ribosomal RNA
Source: RNAcentral